GAUGAACGCUGGCGGCGUGCCUAAUACAUGCAAGUCGAGCGAACAGACGAGGAGCUUGCUCCUCUGACGUUAGCGGCGGACGGGUGAGUAACACGUGGAUAACCUCCCUAUAAGACUGGGAUAACUUCGGGAAACCGGAGCUAAUACCGGAUAAUAUAUUGAACCGCAUGGUUCAAUAGUGAAAGACGGUUUUGCUGUCACUUAUAGAUGGAUCCGCGCCGCAUUAGCUAGUUGGUAAGGUAACGGCUUACCAAGGCAACGAUGCGUAGCCGACCUGAGAGGGUGUUCGGCCAAACUGGAACGGAGACACGGCCCAGACACCUACGGGAGGCGGAAGUGGGGAAUCUUCCGCAAUGGGCGAAAGCUUGACGGAGCAACGCCGCGUGAGUGAUGAAGGUCUUCGGAUCGUAAAACUCUGUUAUUAGAGAAAAACAAAUGUGUAAGUAACUAUGCACGUCUUGACGGUACCUAAGAAGAAAGCCACGGCUAACUACGU
RNAcentral lists this ribosomal RNA (496 nucleotides) under uncultured bacterium. RNAcentral's name for it is "partial 16S ribosomal RNA". It matches the Rfam family "Bacterial small subunit ribosomal RNA", at positions 28 to 506 of the family's 1533-position model. The record is from RNAcentral.